Molecule: long non-coding RNA, 1043 nt
Organism: Leucoraja erinaceus (little skate)
Lineage: Eukaryota; Metazoa; Chordata; Chondrichthyes; Rajiformes; Rajidae
Exons: 4
Source: RefSeq, a predicted model, not a curated record
AGAAAUAAAAAAAAAUAAAGUCGAUUGUGCGUUGGAAGGGGAAACGAAGGAUAAAGAAAUCAAAAAACUGAAGAGGGACUUGGCAUCAACAACCGAACGAUUUGAUGAACAAACAAAAAGUAAAUGAUAAGUAAAUACAUUAUUUUAAUUGUUGCUGUCAUGCGGGAGGCUGGAUUUGUACAGCUUGGGAUAAUAAAAAGCAAUAUAGCACCAAUGGCGAAUCUAUUGUCUGAUCUCUAAUUGCGUGAUAUAUAAAAAAACACGUUGACGUUUAGUCCCCCUGAAUAUCAUUCUCCUGGCAUAGAAUGUGAAGCAAAGUGCCAAAACAGCACUUGCAUCCUGUUGGUGUUCUGGGCAAUAAAAAAGUAGGAUUACAGGCAUAUUUGAAUAAACCCGAUGCAAAAUAGAACAACUCAACUGAAUAUAUAUGGACUGUUUCUGUUUGGAAAUGUAUUUUUGCCUUUUUUAGAGCAUAAAAAUGCAACUGGUCUUUGAUGAAACAAGUCGCAUUAUCAACAAGUCAAUUAUCUGGUGUGAUAAAUGUCCAUCAAUCAUGCGAUUCUAUUCUUCAAUUCUCAAUGGAGUUUACCUGAUGCAGUUUUAGUUUCGGUGUGAAAGCGGUGCACCUAAUAUUGCUCAGUUGUCAACCUACAAAUAUAGAUAAUAAGUGCAGGAGUAAUUUGGUAAAUAGUCCUGGCUUGGACAGGCCAAAUUAUCAACCGAUGAAUGUGCCUCACUUCCCCAUCGGCAGCAAUUACCUACUUUUCUCACCCCAUCGCGACAGACCAUUGUCAAAAUACGAUUCUGAACUAAAACAGAGAUGGUUGGAACAGUUGGGGCGAAGAGAGAAAACAAAAAUAACAUUCCACGUUGACUAAGUUUAAUUACAACUGCAAUUAUUGGGAACAAAUCCUUUACACUGAAGAAUAUGAGAUGCUAUACAUUAAGAGUACUUGCAAUCGUUAAUUCUUAAAGAUACAAUAUUCCGCUGGUUUCAGACCUACAGAAAGUCAACGCUGAUUGCUCCGACGAAUGUGAGAAAA